This 425-nucleotide transfer-messenger RNA is filed under the name Patescibacteria group. Its description in RNAcentral is "CAIKOH01 sp018061755 Standard tmRNA". It matches the Rfam family "transfer-messenger RNA". From Rfam's summary of the family: Bacterial tmRNA, also known as 10Sa RNA or SsrA, is named for its dual tRNA and mRNA-like properties. RNAcentral also lists the same sequence under 1 other name. The record is from RNAcentral.
GGGGAUGAUCAAGCUUCGACGGAUUCGUCACUUGAAGACAGCAGGCCGAGCGCGCACGUGACCGCUCGUAAAUCCGUCCGUGCAUCCGACAACUGCCAACAGCAUUGUCACGAAGGCUCGCGGGUUCUUCGCCUCCUUGGUGAACACCCCAUCCUUCGCUCCAGCCCUCGCUUAAACGCGACGGUUCGUGAGCCGGUUCCUCUUCGUCCGUCCCUCACGAAGAGAUCAGCCGUCACUUGUAGGGACUUGAAGCUCGCUCGUGCCACGCGAUCUUGACCCCCUUGGCACUUGAAUCGAGAGACAGACGUUUGCCUCUUUUCUCUCGAUUGACCGCGUCGCCUGACGCACAUCGGCAGACCAAGCUUGUGGACGAUUGUCCUCAAGAACGAGUUCGGACGGGGGUGCGAUACCCCCCAUCUCCACCA